This is a long non-coding RNA of Motacilla alba alba, 1881 nucleotides long. RefSeq lists it as uncharacterized. The transcript has 3 exons. The record is from RefSeq and is a predicted model, not a curated record. Lineage: Eukaryota; Metazoa; Chordata; Aves; Passeriformes; Motacillidae.
AAUCCAAGAUCGGGAGAUUAAUUUUUUUCCCUAGUAGAAUACAGCAGCGUCUGCAGUAGGACAAAUCUUGAUUGCCCACUCACACUUCUGUUGCCUAUGUAGUAGACAGAGGUAUCAGAGGAAAGAUAAAGUCAAUUCCUUGUGACAGAAAUGAAACUUCACCAUGUUUAGUAAUCUCUUCUCUACUAAAAAAACAAGCAGUGUCUGCAGGACCACAGCAAGACAUUUAAGCUUUCUCAACUAAACAUGACAGGUCCACAAGAGGACUGUAGAGGAAAAGGUCUGGUCAGCAACAGCUGGAUUACAGGAAAUGAAUCUGCAGUCUCAAACUAUUUCCCUGAGGAUGUGUGAUGGGACUAGAUAAUAUCUCUUCCUUAUCAUUCUUAGAAGGGAGCUACUACUGAUGAGUCCAAGACCCACCUUCUUUCUGCUGUGGAUGAUCCUGCACUCCUAGGCUAGACCUACUGAUGGAAAUGCUUGUCUCACUGCUUGGUGAGGAAAUUGCAAAAAUUACAUGAUGGCAUCAUUUAAAGGUUCUAUUUCCUGCCUAGUAGAUGCUACAUCAUUCUUGGAAGACUGUGAGAAACAAAUAUAGACGAGCUCUUGAUACAGGAUGGCAAACUUCAUGAAGUACCAAAAUGUUCUGUGGAAAAAUUGCUUGUCCAUCUUGCUUAAAAAUAUGAAACUUGUUACCAAAAUGCACCCUCAAAUUUAAUCAAUGCUCUUUAUUUUGCUCCAGCUAUUUAUCAGUCAUCCAAUUAAUAGUGUACCACCUAUCACAUUUCUAUUAAUAAGCCCUAGAUGCUCAUUGGGACAGUUUUCUUCUCUAUUUUCUUAGUUUUGAUUUAUGGCCCCUGAGAAAAUGAGGACCUAUGAGAAACAGAGCUUGAAUCUGCUCUGGGUCAAAGCUACGGAGAGAAAGAUUAGCACUAAAAAAUAAACAUGGCAGUACCAUUGUGUAGCACCUUCUCGAGAAAAUAUAUACUCAUUUUUAGCUGCCAUACAAGUGCUGUUGGCUUUGUAACUGACUGUGAACAUGUGAGAACAAAAAAAGUGAUGCUGUGUCAGUGUGUGGGCUGCAAAUGAGAACUCCUGGCUCAUACAUUUUGCCCCAUAAGCAGUUCUGGCAUUGUAUGCAGUCUUAUUGCUGUUUCCUUUGUCCUCAUUGAUCCUGCUAUAGUGUUACUCACAUUUUGGGCUCCCAACUUGCUGUAAAAAAACCUCUGUAAUUUAUUUCAUUGUCUUUUUGGUAGAACAUUCUGACCACUAAUUCUUCUAAGCUCAUUAUUCUCAUAUUUUUCUAGUCCUAAGGACUAAAGACCUUUCUUUUUUUCUUCCCUAAAUCUUCCCUCUGUGAUAUUGAAGAAUGAUAAAGUAUCAUCAGCAAACACAAUUUUGUAUCUGGAAAAUGCAUUAAAAUCACCUAUGUAACCUGCAUGAAAAAUAAAUAAAUUUGUCUUACAUAAUGCAUGAAUUAUGUGAAAGCUUUGAAGUAUUUCCUUUUCUUUCAUCUAAAGUGUGCAAUUAAGAACAUAUCCAGGGAAUAUCAAGGAACAACUUCUUACAAUAACUUUUGUACAUUUGGCUUCUAAAUUUUUUAAAUUUUUUCUCACUUUUAUUGCACAUGGGUCUACAGUAGAUGUUGUUAGAUUGACAAAAUGCUUUCAACCAUCUGAAACCUCACAAAGUUCAACAAAGCCACGUGCAAGGUCCUGCACCCAGAUCAGUGUAUUACCAAUACAAGCCAGGGGAUGAAUGGAUGGAGAGCAGCCCUGCAGAGAUGAUCUUGGGGAUACUGGUGAGUGAAAAAUUUGAUAUGACCCAGCAAUGGGCAUUCACAGCCCAGAAAACCAGUCACACCCUGGGCUGCAACAAGAGCAG